CCUACGGGUGGCAGCAGUAGGGAAUCUUCCACAAUGGGCGCAAGCCUGAUGCAGCAACACCGCGUGAGUGAAGAAGGGUUUCGGCUCGUAAAGCUCUGUUGUUGGAGAAGAACGUGCGUGAGAGUAACUGUUCACGCAGUGACGGUAUUCAAUCAGAAAGUCACGGCUAACUACGUGCCAGCAGCCGCGGUAAUACGUAGGUGGCAAGCGUUAUCCGGAUUGAUUGGGCGUAAAGGGAGCGCAGGCGGUCGCUUAGGUCUGAUGUGAAAGCCUUCGGCUUAACCGAAGAAGUGCAUCGGAAACCGGGCGACUUGAGUGCAGAAGAGGAAGGUGGAAUUCCAAGUGGAGCGGUGGAAUGCGUAGAUAUAUGGAAGAACACCAGUGGCGAAGGCGGCUGUCUGGACUGCGACUGACGCUGAGGCUCGAAAGCAUGGGUAGCGAACAGGAUUAGAUACCCGGGUAGUC
RNAcentral lists this ribosomal RNA (465 nucleotides) under uncultured bacterium. RNAcentral's name for it is "partial 16S ribosomal RNA". It matches the Rfam family "Bacterial small subunit ribosomal RNA", at positions 338 to 795 of the family's 1533-position model. The record is from RNAcentral.